RNAcentral lists this ribosomal RNA (47 nucleotides) under Rhynchospora sp. US:Redden7166. Its description in RNAcentral is "partial 26S ribosomal RNA". Lineage: Eukaryota; Viridiplantae; Streptophyta; Magnoliopsida; Poales; Cyperaceae. The record is from RNAcentral.
GACCCCAGGUCAGUCGGGACUACCCGCUGAGUUUAAGCAUAUCAAUA